UAGGGAAUCUUCCACAACGGACGCAAGUCUGAUGGAGCAACGCCGCGUGAGUGAAGAAGGUUUUCGGACCGUAAAGCUCUGUUGUUGGUGAAGAAGGAUAGAGGUAGUAACUGGCCUUUAUUUGACGGUAAUCAACCAGAAAGUCACGGCUAACUACGUGCCAGCAGCCGCGGUAAUACGUAGGUGGCAAGCGUUGUCCGGAUUUAUUGGGCGUAAAGCGAGCGCAGGCGGAAGAAUAAGUCUGAUGUGAAAGCCCUCGGCUUAACCGAGGAAUUGCAUCGGAAACUGUUUUUCUUGGGUGCAGAAGAGGAGAGUAGAACUCCAUGUGUAGCGGUGGAAUGCGUAGAUAUAUGGAAGAAUACCAGUGGCGAAGGCGGCUCUCUGGUCUGCAACUGACGCUGAGGCUCGAAAGCAUGGGUAGCGAACAGGAUUAGAUACCCUGGUAGUCCAUGCCGUAAACGAUGAGUGCUAAGUGUUGGGAGGCUUCCGCCUCUCAGUGCUGCAGCUAACGCAUUAAGCACUCCGCCUGGGGGAGUACGACCGCAAGGUUGAAAC
RNAcentral lists this ribosomal RNA (555 nucleotides) under uncultured bacterium. RNAcentral's name for it is "partial 16S ribosomal RNA". It matches the Rfam family "Bacterial small subunit ribosomal RNA", at positions 355 to 900 of the family's 1533-position model. The record is from RNAcentral.